Molecule: ribosomal RNA, 449 nt
Filed under: uncultured bacterium
Lineage: Bacteria
Description: partial 16S ribosomal RNA
Rfam family: Bacterial small subunit ribosomal RNA
Source: RNAcentral
GUGGGGAAUCUUCCGCAAUGGACGAAAGUCUGACGGAGCGACGCCGCGUGAGUGAUGAAGGCCUUCGGGUCGUAAAGCUCUGUCAUCGGGGACGAACGGCCUCAGCAGGUAAUGGCUGGGGAUUGACGGUACCCGAGAAGGAAGCCACGGCUAACUACGUGCCAGCAGCCGCGGUAAUACGUAGGUGGCAAGCGUUGUCCGGAAUUAUUGGGCGUAAAGCGCGCGCAGGUGGGAUCUUAAGUCCAUUUUGAAAGUUCGGAGCUCAACUCCGUGAUGGGAUGGAAACUGGGAUUAUUGAGUACCGGAGAGGAAAGCGGAAUUCCCCGUGUAGCGGUGAAAUGCGUAGAUAUGGGGAGGAACACCAGUGGCGAAGGCGGCUUUCUGGACGAAAACUGACGCUGAGGCGCGAAAGCCAGGGGAGCGAACGGGAUUAGAAACCCUAGUAGUCC